This 450-nucleotide ribosomal RNA is filed under the name uncultured bacterium. RNAcentral describes it as "partial 16S ribosomal RNA". It matches the Rfam family "Bacterial small subunit ribosomal RNA", at positions 354 to 796 of the family's 1533-position model. The record is from RNAcentral.
GUGGGGAAUUUUGGACAAUGGGCGCAAGCCUGAUCCAGCAAUGCCGCGUGCAGGAAGAAGGCCUUCGGGUUGUAAACUGCUUUUGUACGGAACGAAACGGUCCUGGAUAAUACCUGGGGCUAAUGACGGUACCGUAAGAAUAAGCACCGGCUAACUACGUGCCAGCAGCCGCGGUAAUACGUAGGGUGCGAGCGUUAAUCGGAAUUACUGGGCGUAAAGCGUGAGCAGGCGGUGCUGUAAGACAGGCGUGAAAUCCCCGGGCUCAACCUGGGAAUUGCGCUUGUGACUGCAGUGCUGGAGUACGGCAGAGGGGGAUGGAAUUCCGCGUGUAGCAGUGAAAUGCGUAGAUAUGCGGAGGAACACCGAUGGCGAAGGCAGUCCCCUGGGCCUGUACUGACGCUCAUGCACGAAAGCGUGGGGAGCAAACAGGAUUAGAUACCCGAGUAGUCC